GAUUUCACGCCGGCUGAACGGGCUACGUUGAUGGUGUAGAGCAUAGAGUUUUUCUCUUGAAAUUA
This 65-nucleotide transfer RNA is filed under the name Quasilineus sinicus. RNAcentral describes it as "tRNA-Ile". Lineage: Eukaryota; Metazoa; Nemertea; Pilidiophora; Heteronemertea; Lineidae. The record is from RNAcentral.